AUGAGCCAUACAAUGAAGCUAUGGGAGAGAGUCAUUGAGCACCGCUUAAGAAGAAUGACAAGCGUGACCAAAAAUCAGUUUGGUUUCAUGCCUGGGAGGUCGACCAUGGAAGCCAUUUUCUUGGUACGACAACUUAUGGAGAGAUAUAGGGAGCAUAAGAAGGACUUGCAUAUGGUGUUCAUUGACUUGGAGAAGGCCUAUGAUAAGAUACUGCGGAAUGUCAUGUGGUGGGCCUUGGAGAAACACAAAGUCCUAGCAAAGUACAUUACCCUCAUCAAGGACAUGUACAAUAAUGUUGUGACAAGUGUUCGAACAAGUGAUGUCGACACCGAUGACUUCCCGAUUAAGAUAGGACUGCACCAGGGGUCAACUUUGAGCCCUUAUCUUUUUGCAUUGGUGAUGGAUGAGGUCACAAGGGGUAUACAAGGAGAUAUCCCAUGGUGUAUGCUCUUUGCGGAUGAUGUGGUGCUAGUUGACGAUAGUCGGACGGGGGUAAAUAGGAAGUCAGAGUUAUGGAGACAAACCUUGGAAUCGAAAGGGUUUAGGCUUAGUAGAACUAAAACCGAGUACAUGAUGUGCGGUUUCAGUACUACUAGCUGUGAGGAGGAGGAGGUUAGCCUUGAUGGCCAGGUGGUACCUCGGAAGGACACCUUUCGGUAUUUGGGGUCAAUGUUGCAGGAGGAUGGGGGUAUUGAUGAAGAUGUGAACCAUCGAAUCAAAGCCGGAUGGAUGAAGUGGCGCCAAGCUUCUGGCAUUCUCUGUGACAAGAGAGUGCCACAAAAGCUAAAAGGCAAGUUCUACAGGACGGCGGUUCGACCCGCAAUGUUGUAUGGCGCGGAGUGUUGGCCGACUAAAAGGCGACAUGUUCAACAGUUAGGUGUGGCGGAGAUGCGUAUGUUGAGAUGGAUGUGUGGCCACACGAGGAAGGAUCGAGUCCGGAAUGAUGAUAUAUGA
Molecule: ribosomal RNA, 954 nt
Filed under: Triticum aestivum (bread wheat)
Lineage: Eukaryota; Viridiplantae; Streptophyta; Magnoliopsida; Poales; Poaceae
Description: partial small subunit ribosomal RNA
Source: RNAcentral